UACAGAGGUCUCAAGCGUUGUUCGGAUUCAUUGGGCGUAAAGGGUGCGUAGGCGGCGCGGUAAGGCGGGUGUGAAAUCUCGGGGCUUAACUCUGAAACUGCAUUCGAUACUGCCGUGCUUGAGGACUGGAGAGGAGACUGGAAUUUACGGUGUAGCGGUGAAAUGCGUAGAUAUCGUAAGGAAGACCAGUGGCGAAGGCGGGUCUCUGGACAGUUCCUGACGCUGAGGCACGAAGGCCAGGGGAGCAAACGGG
RNAcentral lists this ribosomal RNA (253 nucleotides) under uncultured bacterium. RNAcentral's name for it is "partial 16S ribosomal RNA". It matches the Rfam family "Bacterial small subunit ribosomal RNA", at positions 524 to 776 of the family's 1533-position model. The record is from RNAcentral.